AAAUUGAAGAGUUUGAUCAUGGCUCAGAUUGAACGCUGGCGGCAGGCCUAACACAUGCAAGUCGAACGGUAACAGGAAGCAGCUUGCUGCUUAGCUGACGAGUGGCGGACGGGUGAGUAAUGUCUGGGAAACUGCCUGAUGGAGGGGGAUAACUACUGGAAACGGUAGCUAAUACCGCAUAACGUCGCAAGACCAAAGAGGGGGACCUUCGGGCCUCUUGCCAUCGGAUGUGCCCAGAUGGGAUUAGCUUGUUGGUGGGGUAACGGCUCACCAAGGCGACGAUCCCUAGCUGGUCUGAGAGGAUGACCAGCCACACUGGAACUGAGACACGGUCCAGACUCCUACGGGAGGCAGCAGUGGGGAAUAUUGCACAAUGGGCGCAAGCCUGAUGCAGCCAUGCCGCGUGUAUGAAGAAGGCCUUCGGGUUGUAAAGUACUUUCAGCGGGGAGGAAGGGAGUAAAGUUAAUACCUUU
This 473-nucleotide ribosomal RNA is filed under the name Escherichia coli. Its description in RNAcentral is "bacterial SSU rRNA". It matches the Rfam family "Bacterial small subunit ribosomal RNA", at positions 1 to 470 of the family's 1533-position model. Lineage: Bacteria; Pseudomonadati; Pseudomonadota; Gammaproteobacteria; Enterobacterales; Enterobacteriaceae. The record is from RNAcentral.